ACGUACACUCCUGCGGGAGGCAGCAGUGGGGAAUUUUGGACAAUGGGCGAAAGCCUGAUCCAGCCAUGCCGCGUGCAGGAUGAAGGCCUUCGGGUUGUAAACUGCUUUUGUACGGAACGAAACGGCCUUUUCUAAUAAAGAGGGCUAAUGACGGUACCGUAAGAAUAAGCACCGGCUAACUACGUGCAAGCAGCCGCGGUAAUACGUAGGGUGCAAGCGUUAAUCGGAAUUACUGGGCGUAAAGCGUGCGCAGGCGGUUAUGUAAGACAGUUGUGAAAUCCCCGGGCUCAACCUGGGAACUGCAUCUGUGACUGCAUAGCUAGAUUACGGUAGAGGGGGAUGGAAUUCCGCGUGUAGCAGUGAAAUGCGUAGAUAUGCGGAGGAACACCGAUGGCGAAGGCAAUCCCCUGGGCCUGUACUGACGCUCAUGCACGAAAGCGUGGGGAGCAAACAGGAUUAGAAACCCUAGUAGUCCCA
Molecule: ribosomal RNA, 477 nt
Filed under: uncultured organism
Description: partial 16S ribosomal RNA
Rfam family: Bacterial small subunit ribosomal RNA
Source: RNAcentral